Molecule: long non-coding RNA, 312 nt
Organism: Vidua chalybeata
Lineage: Eukaryota; Metazoa; Chordata; Aves; Passeriformes; Viduidae
Exons: 2
Source: RefSeq, a predicted model, not a curated record
CCUGCCUGGCCAGCCUGCAGCUGGGAUGGUACAGGCAUCUCAAGGGGUGUGGAGGCAGCGGGGAGCUCUGCCAGCCCCUGGGCUCUUCAGAUGAGUGUAUUGACCUGCAACAACUCAGAGGUGACAGCCACCCUGCCCGGGGCUCUCUCAGGGAUGGAGCAGGCACCCAACCAUCAGGACUGGUGAGCCUCGGCUCUGUCCCAGGAGGAAUACUGACAUUUCUGCUGCAAGGAGACAUGUUGGGACAGGGCCUGAAAACCCACCAGUGACAGAAACAGUGGAUUGUUGUUCUAAAACACAUGUGCAAUGUGA